GUCUCUGUGGCAGCAAUCGGUUAGCGCGUUCGGCUGUUAACCGAAAGGUUGGGGUGGUUUGAGCCCACCCAGAGUUG
This 77-nucleotide transfer RNA is filed under the name Lepisosteus oculatus (spotted gar). It matches the Rfam family "tRNA". Rfam says of the family: Transfer RNA (tRNA) molecules are approximately 80 nucleotides in length. Their secondary structure includes four short double-helical elements and three loops (D, anti-codon, and T loops). The record is from Rfam by way of RNAcentral. Lineage: Eukaryota; Metazoa; Chordata; Actinopteri; Semionotiformes; Lepisosteidae.